GACGAACGCUGGCGGCGUGCCUAAUACAUGCAAGUCGAACGCACUCUCGUUUAGAUUGAAGGAGCUUGCUCCUGAUUGAUAAACAUUUGAGUGAGUGGCGGACGGGUGAGUAACACGUGGGUAACCUGCCCUAAAGUGGGGGAUAACAUUUGGAAACAGAUGCUAAUACCGCAUAAAACCUAAACACCGCAUGGUGUAGGGUUGAAAGAUGGUUUCGGCUAUCACUUUAGGAUGGACCCGCGGUGCAUUAGUUAGUUGGUGAGGUAAAGGCUCACCAAGACCGUGAUGCAUAGCCGACCUGAGAGGGUAAUCGGGCCACACUGGGACUGAGACACGGCCCAGACUCCUACGGGAGGCAGCAGUAGGGAAUCUUCCACAAUGGACGAAAGUCUGAUGGAGCAAACGCCGCGUGAGUGAAGAAGGUUUUCGGAUCGUAAAAACCCUGUUGUUGGAGAAGAAUGU
RNAcentral lists this ribosomal RNA (462 nucleotides) under uncultured bacterium. RNAcentral's name for it is "bacterial SSU rRNA". It matches the Rfam family "Bacterial small subunit ribosomal RNA", at positions 28 to 452 of the family's 1533-position model. The record is from RNAcentral.